Molecule: non-coding RNA, 23 nt
Filed under: Arabidopsis thaliana (thale cress)
Lineage: Eukaryota; Viridiplantae; Streptophyta; Magnoliopsida; Brassicales; Brassicaceae
Source: RNAcentral
AAGGUUGCAGCCUAAUUUCAUGC